UGCAGUUGAGCGCUGAGGUUGGUACUUGUACCAACUGGAUGAGCAGCGAACGGGUGAGUAACGCGUGGGGAAUCUGCCUUUGAGCGGGGGACAACAUUUGGAAACGAAUGCUAAUACCGCAUAAAAACUUUAAACACAAGUUUUAAGUUUGAAAGAUGCAAUUGCAUCACUCAAAGAUGAUCCCGCGUUGUAUUAGCUAGUUGGUGAGGUAAAGGCUCACCAAGGCGAUGAUACAUAGCCGACCUGAGAGGGUGAUCGGCCACAUUGGGACUGAGACACGGCCCAAACUCCUACGGGAGGCAGCAGUAGGGAAUCUUCGGCAAUGGACGAAAGUCUGACCGAGCAACGCCGCGUGAGUGAAGAAGGUUUUCGGAUCGUAAAACUCUGUUGGUAGAGAAGAACGUUGGUGAGAGUGGAAAGCUCAUCAAGUGACGGUAACUACCCAGAAAGGGACGGCUAACUACGUGCCAGCAGCCGCGGUAAUACGUAGGUCCCGAGCGUUGUCCGGAUUUAUUGGGCGUAAAGCGAGCGCAGGUGGUUUAUUAAGUCUGGUGUAAAAGGCAGUGGCUCAACCAUUGUAUGCAUUGGAAACUGGUAGACUUGAGUGCAGGAGAGGAGAGUGGAAUUCCAUGUGUAGCGGUGAAAUGCGUAGAUAUAUGGAGGAACACCGGUGGCGAAAGCGGCUCUCUGGCCUGUAACUGACACUGANGCUCGAAAGCGUGGGGAGCAAACAGGAUUAGAUACCCUGGUAGUCCACGCCGUAAACGAUGAGUGCUAGAUGUAGGGAGCUAUAAGUUCUCUGUAUCGCAGCUAACGCAAUAAGCACUCCGCCUGGGGAGUACGACCGCAAGGUUGAAACUCAAAGGAAUUGANNGGGCCCGCACAAGCGGUGGANCAUGUGGUUUAAUUCGAAGCAACGCGAAGAACCUUACCNGGUCUUGACAUACUCGUGCUAUUCCUA
This 961-nucleotide ribosomal RNA is filed under the name Lactococcus sp. RNAcentral's name for it is "bacterial SSU rRNA". It matches the Rfam family "Bacterial small subunit ribosomal RNA", at positions 56 to 1003 of the family's 1533-position model. Lineage: Bacteria; Bacillati; Bacillota; Bacilli; Lactobacillales; Streptococcaceae. The record is from RNAcentral.